UACGAAGGGGGCUAGCGUUGUUCGGAAUUACUGGGCGUAAAGGGCGCGCAGGCGGCCCUCCAAGUCAGGCGUGAAAGCCCCGGGCUCAACCCGGGAAUAGCGCUUGAGACUGGGGGGCUUGAGUUCGGGAGAGGAGAGUGGAAUUCCCAGUGUAGAGGUGAAAUUCGUAGAUAUUGGGAAGAACACCGGUGGCGAAGGCGGCUCUCUGGACCGACACUGACGCUGAGGCGCGACAGCGUGGGGAUCAAACAGG
Molecule: ribosomal RNA, 253 nt
Filed under: uncultured bacterium
Lineage: Bacteria
Description: partial 16S ribosomal RNA
Rfam family: Bacterial small subunit ribosomal RNA
Source: RNAcentral